GGUUCCGGCCGUACUCACGGCGCCGCGCGGUGACUCCCCAGGCGCAGCCCAGCCUCGAAAUGCAGAACGACGCCGGCGAGUUCGUGGACCUGUACGUGCCGCGGAAAUGGGUGAGUCAGAUGAUUCCAUUCUCCGAUUGGCCAAGGCCGAUGGCAUCGUCUCAAAGUAAGGUUGGGGGCUCACAUUUGGGCAGAGUGAGUGGACUAGGACUGCUCCAGAGGCGUGGUCUUAACGUUGUCCUUUUCCCCUGGUUCUAGGAACUUUUGACUGGAGAGAAUCACAGAUGUGGAAUAUUUGUCAUAAAUAAAUAAUGAAAACCU
This 320-nucleotide long non-coding RNA is filed under the name Homo sapiens (human). RNAcentral describes it as "HSALNT0270259". Lineage: Eukaryota; Metazoa; Chordata; Mammalia; Primates; Hominidae. The record is from RNAcentral.